ACUCAAAUGAAUAGACGGGGGCCCGCACAAGCGGUGGAGCAUGUGGUUCAAUUCGACGCAACGCGAAGAACCUUACCCAGGUUUGACAUGCAUCGGACCGGUGUGGAAACACACCUUUCCUUCGGGACCGGUGCACAGGUGCUGCAUGGCUGUCGUCAGCUCGUGUCGUGAGAUGUUGGGUUAAGUCCCGCAACGAGCGCAACCCUUGCCCUUAGUUGCUAACGGGUAAAGCCGAGCACUCUAAGGGGACUGCCGACGGCAAGUCGGAGGAAGGUGGGGACGACGUCAAGUCCUCAUGGCCCUUACGCCUGGGGCUACACACGUGCUACAAUGGCCGGUACAAUGGGUCGCAAUACCGCGAGGUGGAGCUAAUCUCAAAAAGCCGGCCUCAGUUCGGAUUGCAGUCUGCAACUCGACUGCAUGAAGUUGGAAUCGCUAGUAAUCGCUGAUCAGCAGGCAGCGGUGAAUACGUUCCCGGGCCUUGUACACACCGCCCGU
This 498-nucleotide ribosomal RNA is filed under the name uncultured bacterium. RNAcentral's name for it is "partial 16S ribosomal RNA". It matches the Rfam family "Bacterial small subunit ribosomal RNA", at positions 899 to 1397 of the family's 1533-position model. The record is from RNAcentral.